This 513-nucleotide ribosomal RNA is filed under the name uncultured bacterium. Its description in RNAcentral is "partial 16S ribosomal RNA". It matches the Rfam family "Bacterial small subunit ribosomal RNA", at positions 28 to 523 of the family's 1533-position model. The record is from RNAcentral.
GACGAACGCUGGCGGCGUGCCUAACACAUGCAAGUCGAGCGAGGAAUGACUGGUAGCUUGCUACCGGUUAUUUCUAGCGGCGGACGGGUGAGUAACGCGUGAGCAACCUGCCUUUAUCAGGGGGAUAACGCAUCGAAAGAUGUGCUAAUACCGCGUAAGACCACAGCCUCACAUGGGGCAGGGGUCAAAGGAGCAAUCCGGAUAAAGAUGGGCUCGCGUCCGAUUAGCUAGUUGGUGAGAUAACAGCCCACCAAGGCGACGAUCGGUAGCCGACCUGGGAGGGUGAUCAGUCACACUGGAAGUGAGAGCCGGUCCAGACUCCUACGGGAGGCAGCAGUGGGGAAUAUUGGACAAUGGGCGAAAGCCUGAUCCAGCCAUGCCGCGUGUGUGAAGAAGGUCUUCGGAUUGUAAAGCACUUUAAGUUGGGAGGAAGGGUUGCAGGUUAAUACCUUGCAGCCUUGACGUUACCGACAGAAUAAGCACCGGCUAACUUCGUGCCAGCCGCCGCGGUAA